RNAcentral lists this ribosomal RNA (293 nucleotides) under uncultured bacterium. RNAcentral describes it as "partial 16S ribosomal RNA". It matches the Rfam family "Archaeal small subunit ribosomal RNA", at positions 455 to 747 of the family's 1478-position model. The record is from RNAcentral.
GUGCCAGCCGCCGCGGUAAUACCGGCAGCCCAAGUGAUGGCCGAUAUUAUUGGGCCUAAAGCGUCCGUAGCUGGCCAGACAAGUCUGUUGGGAAAUCCACUCGCCCAACGAGUGGGCGUCCGACGGAAACUGCACAGCUUGGGACCGGAAGGCUCGAAGGGUACGUUCGGGGUAGGAGUGAAAUCCCAUAAUCCCGCACGGACCACCGAUGGCGAAAGCACUUCGAGAAAACGGAUCCGACAGUGAGGGACGAAAGCCAGGGUCUCCAACCGGAUUAGAUACCCGAGUAGUCC